CAAUAGCAUAUAUUAACGUUGUUGCAGUUGAAAAGCUCGUAGUUGAACUUUUGGUAGGAGCGACCUGGCCUUGGGCGCAUGCCCUUGUUUGCCGUGUGUCGUGUCUGGCCAUCCUUUUCUUCGUUUUUCGGAGGAAUCUUUUACUGUGAGUAAACUGGAGUGCUCAAAACAAGACGUUUGUUUGGUACAUUAAAGCAUGGAAUAAUAAGAUAGGACCUGGUUACUAUUUUGUUGGUUUGCAUAGCUAGGUAAUGAUUAACAGGGACAGUUGGGGGUAUUCGUAUUUAAUUGUCAGAGGUGAAAUUCUUGGAUUUAUGAAAGACGAACGACUGCGAAAGCAUUUACCAAGGAUGUUUNCAUUA
This 362-nucleotide ribosomal RNA is filed under the name uncultured eukaryote. Its description in RNAcentral is "partial 18S ribosomal RNA". It matches the Rfam family "Eukaryotic small subunit ribosomal RNA", at positions 592 to 975 of the family's 1831-position model. The record is from RNAcentral.